This is a long non-coding RNA of Megalops cyprinoides (Indo-Pacific tarpon), 2636 nucleotides long. RefSeq lists it as uncharacterized. NCBI's taxonomy places the organism in Eukaryota, Metazoa, Chordata, Actinopteri, Elopiformes, Megalopidae. The transcript is spliced from 4 exons. The record is from RefSeq and is a predicted model, not a curated record.
CACAAUGGGGCGUCCAGGCGGGACCUUGCGAGAGACAGUCCAUGUCUCCGGAUCCUUGUGGAUUUUAGGUAAUAAAUAAAAUAUUCUAUUCCUGGGUGUAUCUGAACCUAGUAAGAAGUCUCGCUGUUUGCAAUUGAUGUAAUUCUUGUAAUAUGAAUCCUAUACAAUAACAUGAAUUUCUUUUUGUGUUUGCAGUUGCAAAGAUGCAGGUAUGGGCAUAUAAUGCUUUGUAUUGGAGAGCUGCCGGUUGGCUUCCAAAAGGUAUUGCUGUUUGUCCAUAAUGACUAUUUUUGAACCUUUAUCAGCAGGUUUAAUGAUAAUCUCUGUUUUUAGAGAGCUCCUUAAGGGCCGCCCUCUGUGCCACGGAGAGAUUAUCUGUACGGGUUGUGGAAUAGGUAUGUGUUCUUGCAGUUAAUGUAUCUUUCCGUAUUAGCUGUCUAAUAUAUGGAUUCAUUUGUGAAUUUUCCAGUUCCCAAUGUGAUGGGAGAAUAAACGGUGAGUGACGGUAGGCAUGGACGUCCCUGUAGAGGUCCUGCUGGUCAUCCCGGUUGGGGAGAGGAAUAAAUGUUAGGCCUCUUUCCAACACUUCCACCUGUGCCUCUGAAAGCUGAAAGGGUCCUGAUCUUUAUUAUUGAUGCCCAGAGAAAGAAUUACUUUCUGUGACAGACCGGACAGUUUCUCAGCACCCCAUUUAUGUGAUAAAAAGGGGCCCCCAGGUUCACCUCCCCCUCCCCUGUUUCCCGGCCCUCCCGGUCCCCAUCUGGAGCAACAGGGUUCUCAGUUGAUCUCCAGGUGGCCCACACACAGUUGAAUUAUCAGCAAUGGUAAAUAUUUGUGUUCCUUCCACAGGGUCUUUCAUGGCAGUCCUCUGUACUGUAUGUGUCACCACAGCAUGUUCCGGGGAGGUAGGCCCAGCCAUGGUACCAUGUAGGCCUGCAACUACCUGGGCAUAAGUGGGAGCAUUAAAGGGGGGGGGGCACAGCUUCAGUAGUCUGAGAAGACCUCAUCUGAGUCUGAGUAGCUGGGAUAAAUGAGGAGGAAUCAUCCUCAAAAUAUGUCACCUUGACCUGAGGUGCAAGCAAUUUCAUCACUUGUUCAGCAAUUCUCUUAUUAAACCUUAUUAAAGGCCUCUCUCCAACACUUCCACCUGUGCCUCGGAAAGCUGAAAGGUAAGUGAGAGGUUAAGCACAUUGCUGAGUUCAGAGAGUUGGGGAGAUCGUGGCCGCUUCUCCCCCCCUAGAAGUUUAACUGCUGGCACCAGUGCUGAAAUAUCCUAUUCGCCGUGGUUGGGGUCCAAUGAAUGUUAUCACCUGUAGUGAAAAAGGAACUGUUGUGCAGUACGUGGCAAUAUAUUUAUUAAUUACAGUCAAGUUAGACUUCUGCAGUUGGGAGAAAACAUGAUCACGGGUACAAACAAUGUUGCAUUUGGAAAGACCCUCUGUGCUGUGUUAAGUAAUUGCUGUAAUUGCUUAAUUGCUGUUUUUCUAGGGUCCUGAUCUUUAUUGUUGAUACCCAAAGAAAGAAUCACGUUUUGUGUGGACUGAGAGACUGGGCAGUUUCUAAGCACGCCAUUAAUGUGAUAGAAUGUAGCGCCUGGAUAACUAUCAAUCUGGAUUUGUUCAUUCUUAAAUGAGGGGAUUCUUUUCAAAUUCGAAUCACCAAUGAAAACUAUUGGCUUUUCUGCUAUAAAUCACCAGUCAUACAGUUUACGUUCUGAUCGUGGGUGGCCCCUGGGGUAGAAAAUGGGCUCCCUCUCCAAGGCCGUGUCUCUUAGGGUUUGAGGGGAGGACUCAGAUUGGGGUCGAUUUAUGGGAUUUUGCCCUUUAUUUGCCCCAUACAUCAUGUCCUAGGGUUAGGGUAGGGGAAAAUGAUUUGAGGCACCGAACAACAGUGUCUCAUGUACGGGCCCAUGUGUAUAACUUGAAUCCCACUCUUAUUUUCUAGAUAGCUUGCCACCACUGUCUAUAUAUUUGUAUGUGCACCUGCUGGUCUUGAACCAGGGAUCUUCAGAUUUAGGGGCCAUUUUGCUGACCCCGUGCCCACUGCGGAUGCUCAUCUACAAGCGGUGAUUGCGAGCCACUUAUUUCACUGGCAGGGGUGAAAUUGGACCAUGAAAGAGAAAGAAAGGGAGAGGUGAAACAAAAUCAGAUGCCUUUGGGAUUGAACCCAGGUCCUCCAGAUCAUAGGGCAUUGACAGAUUCCAUGUGCCACUCUGUCUACCCUUUAUAGAGAAGAAAAAAAGGAAGGAGGCAGGUCAUUCUGUGUGUGUAAUUCCCAGUGUUAUACUUUGAGUAUAUUUUUUCCAUCUGUCAGUUACAUCAAUGGGUCCAGGCUGUACCUUAAUGUCUCCAUGUCCUAUGUCCCAGCACGACCCUGUCCACCCAUCCCACUACCAACUUCCCCCUGGUCCCAGUAGUUCCAAUCAAAAAUUAGGGUUAGAGUUACGGCCAGGGCCUGGGCCAGGGAUGGGGUCAGGGUUAAGGUUAGGAUAGGGGUUGGGGUUAACACUAGGGUUAUGGUCAAGAUCAGGGCCAGUCCACUGUGGUCCCUUUCUUGAUCCCAAUGGUUAGGGUUAGGGUUUGGGAUUAGGGUCAGGCUAGGACCUAGGACCUAGGACCAGGCUUGGUUAGGGUUAG